Long non-coding RNA from Syngnathus typhle (broad-nosed pipefish), 3655 nucleotides. RefSeq lists it as uncharacterized. NCBI's taxonomy places the organism in Eukaryota, Metazoa, Chordata, Actinopteri, Syngnathiformes, Syngnathidae. The transcript is spliced from 4 exons. The record is from RefSeq and is a predicted model, not a curated record.
CAUGCAAAUUCAGAAAUCACUGCUGCUCUUGCUGAGAUGGCAGAGGAUUCUUUGGAGAGCGUGAUGCCCCUCCUUCACGUGAUGCCGUCGGUAGAUCGGGCAAAUCACCUGGUUGUCAUCCAUCAUAACACCGAAGGGCUGUCUUGUCAUGUGCAGGACAUCAGGUGCCACCACGAGCUGCACUUUGCUGAUGUUUUGUGCUUCACGGAGACACACCUUCAAGGAUCUGUGGCUGAUGGACGUGCCUGCUUGGAAGGGUUCACAAUGUUUCACAGGAACCGAAGAGAUUCUUACACAAACUGUCUUGACUUGGCGACGAAACUUGGUGGCGGCGUAGGUAUUUGUGUCAAAAGUCACAUUGCAGCCCAGGAAAAGAAAUACAUACAGGGUGUGACCGACAUUGAAUUUGUUGUGGUGAAACUUGAAGCUCCUCUCAAUGUGUUGAUUGCUGCCGUUUACAGGCCUCCAGGCAACAGUCCGCGCACUUUUCUGCCAAGCUUGGGAAAUCUCUUGCGGUACCUUGAAGUAAUGGACCAUCAUCAGAUCUUGGUAUGUGGAGAUUUUAAAUGAAGAUAUGCUAUCAGCCUCAUUCAAGCCCAUUCUCGAUUUGUUUCGCUCAACAGGUUACACGCAACUCAUAACCACUGCUACCACUGACAAAAACACAUUGCUUGACCUAAUUUUUGUCUCUCGACCUCAGUGUGCUCUUCAUUCAGGUGUCUUGCAAACGUACUACAGCUAUCACAAUCUUGUUUUCUGUGUUUUGGCCACUGAAAGGUAAGUCACAGCUAAAUCAUGUGGUUCAGCAUUUGCAAAAAGGAUGGAAAUCAGAACGUGAACGUUGUCGUAAGUGUAUAAUAUUAGUGGUGGGAUGUGGUGGGUGAGUUGUUGCCUUUAGGUGAGAUGGGAUCUGGGGCGAAGGUUGCUCAAAAUGACAAAUGAAAGAAACCUGAAAACUCAAAAUAACUACAGACCUAUGUAUGACAUACUUUGUUUUCUGCAGAUAGGACCUCAUGUCUAUGGUGGGAAGAUAGUCCUGUAGGUUGAGAUGGAAUAGUGGUUGGGGGUCGGUGAGGAAUCACGUUGAGUUAAGGGAGGGCAAAGGCUUUUUAAAAUUUCAAAAAGCCUUCCCUUAACUCAACUUUUUAAUUUUUAAAAAGCCUUCCCUUAACUCAACUUUUUAUUUUUAAAAAGCCUUCCCUUAACUCAACGUUUUAAUUUUUAAAAAUGUUACUUUUACUUUUUAAAAUUGUAACUUUUAAAACUUUUAACUUUUUAACUUUUUACAUUUUUAAAUUAACUUAUGGUUGAGAGGAGACUUUUUAACUUUUUAAACCUUUAUUUUACAAUCAAAUUUUAAUCUUUUAAACCUUUAUUUUACAAUCAGAUUUUAACCUUUUAAAACUUUACUUUACAAUCAAAUUUUAACCUUUUAAACCUUUAUUUUACAAUCAAAUUUUAACCUUUUAAACCUUUAUUUUACAAUCAAAUUUUAAAGAUGAGUUAAGGGAAGGCCUUUUACAUUUUAACUUUUUAAUUGUUUUGAACUUUUAUUUUUAAUUUUUUUGAAUGUCAUAAUCACCAGGCGAGAACAGAAAACAGAUGAGGUAAGUUGCUCGUCAUGAAACAUGUUUUUUCCUUUCUUUCUAAAGAGAGUAAAUGCUGCUAUUUCACUCUUUUGUAUUUUAACAGUUUUUAUCUGGCGAAAGCAGUUCAUCCCAGAAUGGAGGCCAGAGGUAGGCAUGACAUAUCACCUUAUUGUAAUGUAAUUAUAAAAUUGUAACAUGUUGUAAUUUAUAGUUAAGCUUGUGUAAGCCCUCUGUACAAUCAUACAUUUUCAAUCAACUUUGCUGGAUUGUCCUUUUUUCUCCACAAAGACCUUGAGCAUGCAAAAACAUUCAUCAUGGACGAAUGACUCCCAGGCAGACUCAAGGCACGCCACCCCUACAACAUGGCAGCACAAGAGAUGCUCAAUUCCAUCCCUGAAGACAUCUCCAGAGAUGCCUGGCUGGCAGCAGCUUGGAAGCAGGAGUGGGAGGCAGCUGGCCCCUCCCUCAUGCACAGUUAUGUCUGGGAACCAGGAGACGGCGCCAUAGGAGGAGACGAACUACCUCGCCAGCAGUGGACCACACUGAACCGCUUAAGAACUGGUGUUGGGCGCUUCAACAUGUCUAGUGGGGUCUGGCGGACAGUGCGGCAUGCGAGUGCGGAGCCCCCGAGCAGACAGCCGACCACACCAUCAACACCUGCCCCCUAUAUAGACCACCUUCAGAGGCCGGCCUCUUCGACCUGGGACCAGAGAUGCUGCCGUGGCUCCACGACACCAAGUUGGAGCGCUGACGUUACACGAGAGAGAGAGAGAGAGAGAGAGAGAGAGAGAGAGAGAGAGAGAGAGAGAGAGAGAGAGAGAGAGAGAGAGAGAGAGAGAGAGAGAGAGAGAGAGAGAGAGCGAGCGAGAGAGACUCCCAAACCAGGGUGGCAAGAAGCAGGACUUCUCAUUCCUCUUUUUUUAUGUUGCGUGUGGCUCCACAUGCUCCAUUUGUCUAGACCAUUUGUUUGGCCACCUUGGUACUCAGCCUUGAUGAGACCUGGCCUGUCUCGCCAAAAAAAUGACCGAAGUUUUAAGAAGAUCCAUGGGACCAGUGUUAUUCUCCUUUUCUAUUGACUCCAAGCAACACCACAGGGAGAGCCAAGACUUUCCAAAAGACCUGUACAACGGAGGCCAGCAUCAUGAAACACAAACUCCGAAACCAGCAUGGUAACACACAGGACUUCUUCUGAUUCUUCUUAUGUUCUUGGGUCUUGCCUGUGGUUCUACACGCAUCCAGAAAUGCAGACAAAGAACAGCUUCGCCUUUAACAGUCGGAAGCCUCUGAUUUUACUCUACUAAGCCUCAGAUACAGUCUGUUUUCUGUUCUCAUUCAGUCAUUCAUUUAUCGAUUUAUUUAUUUAUUUAUUUAUUUAUUUAUUAUAUUUUUUGCCUCAAAUUAUGUUUGCAUUAUCUUUUGUAUAACAGCGUCUACAAUCAUGUUGCACUUAAACUCUUAAAAAAUAACACUGAAAUUAACAUAACAUCCAUCCAUCCAUUCAUUCUCUGAACCGCUUAGUCCCCACGCGGGCCGCGGGUGUGCUGGAUCCUAUCCCAGCCGUCAUCGGGCAGUAGGCGGGGGACGCCCUGAACCGGUUGCCAGCCAACCGCAGGGCACACAGAGAUUAUUAUCUAUUGAAUCAGUAAAAUACUUGAUAUGUUUUUAUUUGUUAUGUUUUAGCGUUUUUGAAAGUUAUUUAUAUUAUUUCUUGCAUUAAUUCUUUGAUUCAAUUAAAAAACCUGUAUUUUGUCCCAAAAAGCACAAUUUUUUCCCUUCUCUUGUGUGUGAUUUAUUAUAUUUUGUUUCCAAUAUUUAAACAGCUCAGUGGCCUAGUGGUAGAGUGUCCGCCCUGAGACUGGAAGGUUGUGGGUUCAAACCCCGGCCGGGUCAUACCAAAGACUAUAAAAAUGGGACCCAUUGCCUCCCUGCUUGGCACUCAGCAUUAAGGGUUGGAAUUGGGGGGUUAGAUCACCAACUGAUUCCCGAGCGCGGCACCGCUGCUGCUCACUGCUCCCCUCUCCCCCAGGGGAUGGAUUAAAAUCACACGGGGAUGUAAAACUAUUAAA